GUGAGUAACGCGUGGAAACAUACCCUUUCCUGCGGAAUAGCUCUGGGAAACUGGAAUUAAUACCGCAUACGCCCUACGGGGGAAAGAUUUAUCGGGGAAGGAUUGGCCCGCGUUGGAUUAGCUAGUUGGUGGGGUAAAGGCCUACCAAGGCGACGAUCCAUAGCUGGUCUGAGAGGAUGAUCAGCCACAUUGGGACUGAGACACGGCCCAAACUCCUACGGGAGGCAGCAGUGGGGAAUAUUGGACAAUGGGCGCAAGCUUGAUCCAGCCAUGCCGCGUGAGUGAUGAAGGCCUUAGGGUUGUAAAGCUCUUUCACCGGAGAAGAUAAUGACGGUAUCCGGAGAAGAAGCCCCGGCUAACUUCGUGCCAGCAGCCGCGGUCAUACGAAGGGGGCUAGCGUUGUUCGGAAUUACUGGGCGUAAAGCGCACGUAGGCGGAUAUUUAAGUCAGGGGUGAAAUCCCAGAGCUCAACUCUGGAACUGCCUUUGAUACUGGGUAUCUUGAGUAUGGAAGAGGUAAGUGGAAUUCCGAGUGUAGAGGUGAAAUUCGUAGAUAUUCGGAGGAACACCAGUGGCGAAGGCGGCUAACUGGUCCAUUACUGACGCUGAGGUGCGAAAGCGUGGGGGGCAAACAGGAUUAGAUACCCUGGUAGUCCACGCAGUAUACGAUGAAUGUUAGCCGUCGGGCAGUAUACUGUUCGGUGGCGCACCUAACGCAUUAAACAUUCCGC
Molecule: ribosomal RNA, 730 nt
Filed under: Rhizobium sp. 41(2010)
Lineage: Bacteria; Pseudomonadati; Pseudomonadota; Alphaproteobacteria; Hyphomicrobiales; Rhizobiaceae
Description: bacterial SSU rRNA
Rfam family: Bacterial small subunit ribosomal RNA
Source: RNAcentral